Molecule: long non-coding RNA, 4075 nt
Filed under: Hordeum vulgare
Lineage: Eukaryota; Viridiplantae; Streptophyta; Magnoliopsida; Poales; Poaceae
Description: long non-coding RNA (HVUL_LNC001554)
Source: RNAcentral
UAUUGUACCGUGAAGUGAAAUAACAGCCCAAAAAGCAAUAAAUAACAACAUGAAAGCAUGAUGCAAAAUGGACGUAUCAGCGGCACUCCGGCGCCACCGGGAGAGAGGGGGAGAGAGCCCCCUCCUUCUUAUUCUUCCUUGGCCUCCCCCCUAGAUGGGAGGAGAGUUCCCCCUCUGGUCCAUGGCUUCCAUGGCGGCGGAGGGGCGAGAGCCCCUCCUAGAUUGGAUCUCCCUCUCUGUUCUCUUCUGUUUCACGCUCUCCAAAUCUGGCCCUUCACGGUUUCUAAAAUUUCCGGAGAUCUGUAACUCCGAUUGCGCUGAAACUUUUACACGAUUUUUUCCAUAAAUUAUCUUUCUUGCGCCAGAAGAAAGUCUCCAACUGACGUCCGAGGAGGGCACAAGACACCAGGGUGCGCCUAGGGCCUGUGGCGCGCCCUGGUGGAUUGUGGGCUCUAUGGGCCCCCGUUUGCAUUGAUUCCACCUCCCAAAAAUCACAUAAAUUCCAAAAUAAUUCUACGUAUAUUUUUAUCAUGUUUGGAAUUCAUUUGUUAUGGAUUUUGUGCGACACAAUAAACAUGCAAAAAAGGAACUGCCACUGGGCACAAGAUCAAUAGGUUAGUCGCAUAAAUCAUAUAAAAAGUUGCCAAAAGUAUGUGAAAGUUGUAUAAUAUUGGCAUGAAACAAUCAAAAAUUAUAGAUACGAUGGAGACGUAUCACUAGCAUUCAAAUGUCACAGAACCUUGGUCGACAUGACUAGUUAUAAACCCAAGUGGCACAUGCGUACAGGAAGAGGCAUACGUAACCCAUCAAUGCAAGUGUCGGUCAUCAACUGCAUGUAGACGAGUCAUAGCAAGAUACACAGACUCCACUACACCGUGAGACAUUUCUGUCAUCAACUACGUGUAGAUGAGUCAUAGCAGGCUACAUGGACACCAUUAAACCUUGUGACAUUUCCUCGUGGGGACACACACAUCAACAAACAAGGAUACACGUUGAUCAAUUAAUGUGUUCGGAGCAGUAGCAAGCUACCAUGGCUCUAUGGAAACACAAAGAGGCAUUUUCUACAAUGAUAGCUACUAAAGGCACACAACUAGAUGUUGAUUCCCACACAUGCAACACAUUACAAAACAUACACGCAAUAUGCACAAAUGUGUAGAUACAACAUGGCAUCACAACACUACUCUACGACUCAAGCAUUUAUGAAUGACUCAUAAGAGUUAACAUAGUGUGAUAUUACAAACAAGGGUCACAUGGCCCAACACUCAAGUCAUACAAACAACAAGCGGAAGCAUAAUAUGUCUGAGUACAGACAUCUACUAAAAGUGGUUGGAGGAACAUGAAAAUCUACAACGACCCUCCCAAAGGAGCCAGACAUCCGUCUAGGAUUCCCAAGCUAAUUUGGUUAAUGUCAAACUUCAUGUAGAAACCCUUAAUGAGACUAAGGUCUCCUCUACAAAAACAUAAUUAAGCAACCGUGAGUACAAAGGUACUUAGUAAGACUUACAUCAGAACUAUCUACUUAUGGAUCAGUAUCAGUGAAGGGGGUUGUGGAGUUUAUUGCAACAAGCUAGCAUUAACUCUUGGCUAACCUAUACUACAGCUACGAGUACUUUCUUUGAGGUAAGAGAGUGCACACGAGUCCACAUAUUCACUAGAUCAAUACACCACCGUGGAUCCACUCCCGUCUCCCUAAGAGAAGGACAUCCAUAUCACUCACACUUAUAUUGCACCUUUUAGAGUGUCCAUUUCAAUUGUCUAUGUACCACAUAAGUUUUCCAAGUAGUCCAUAUCUGAGGACGCGGCUAUUUGAACAAAUUUGUUCACCCUGCAGGGGUCUACUUCUUCACACACGCUCUCAUCACUUAUCACCAUAUGCACGUCAUGCAUCUUGGCAACCUUCAAGCGGAAGCACUGGCAUGGGCGUCGGCCACGACCAUUAACCACACAAGACCCUAGUCCAUGUUUAUCACCUAUUUGAGACUGAACCUGCAAGGAAGUUCGAUCGAAGUUUCCUCUAUGACCUCAAAUGAUGUGCACGGAGUUCCACAAGCCCACCAUUUGGGUGCCACUUGGUACAUCGUGCCACUGUGUAUCUACCACACAGAACCCAAACCCGUCGGGCAAAUCUAAAUACGAGUGCCACCACUUUUCUUACAAGCACAAGAAACUAGUUGCAACUAUUGAAUAGAGAUCUAGGCCAAUAAUAAGCCAAGAGGGAUCGAGUUACCGGAACCCAAUGUGAGGUAGUAUCUUGAGUUGGAUAACAUACACAAAACUAAGUUCUUAGGGACGUUCAUAAUGAUACAACCCGCCAUGUACUCCUAUAUAACCUCUCAUCGCUACCUUUACCAAAUCGGAUUCACACGCUUAGCUCUCACACAGUAGGACAUGAACACAUCCAUUCUCAUUCAUCGCCCAGACGGAUCAGACUCCACACGACUCUAUGCAUAGCUGGCACAGUAAGCAAGCAUGGAUGAGUAAGCACAACAAGGCUCAAGAAGUUGCUACCCAUGCUAAGUGGUUUCAACUAUUUACUAUGAUAAAGACAUGUCAUGCAAAGGAAUAGAUUUAGCUACCGAGAACAUGUAACAAUUGAAUCAUGAUUGUCCUAAUGCAAUAAAAGAGAGCAAGAGUGAGAGAGUGGGUUCAUAUCAGUAUGCUCAAGGGGGGUUGCUUGCCUGACAGAUUUGAAGAUAGAACUUCUCUUCAUCAGUGUCACUGAUCAUAACGUUGGAACCAUCGUCUAGUGAAAAGGAAUAACACCGACGAACAAGAAGAAGAAACACAUUCAAUGUGAUGCACAACCAGAUGAAUGGUAUGUCAUGUUAUGGUACUUAAUUGACCUAAUGCAACAACUCAUCAUAUUAAUUGAAGUGGAAUUCAACAUAGCUCAAAUUCCAACUCCAAAUGUUAUUUCAUAAAUUUCUCUAAUCAUGAAAUUGUCCUAGUUGAUGAUGUUAACUUACUCAAAUAUGCAUGAACAUGGCAUAAACAGAUUCUUCAUAUAUUUUUAAUCAUUUUUCAUAUAUAAUUUAUUUUCAUCUGAGUUAUAGAUAAUUUUAUAUGAAUUUUAGAAGCUUUAACCCUUAUUCGAAAUAAAUAAAUUAGUUAAGAUUUAUCUAAAUUCCAGAAUUGAAUUAUUGCGUGAGCAUGAAGUCAGUGUGAUGUGAGCAGGUCAACAUGCUGGUCAAGGUCAAACGUGACGUCAGUGUCACAGUAAAUUAACACGGUUUAAUAUAUUUAAUUAAGUCAUUAGGCUAAUUAACUCACGGGGCUGGCCCACCCGUCACUGACCAAGAUAGGUCAAACCUUAGGUUAGCGGGGUCAAUCGCUCCAGUGUUAAGCCGCCGAUGGCAGCAGAUGCGGUGGAGGGCAUCGAAAAUCGCCUUCCGACGACCAAACGAGCGACGGAGCAGCUCUACGCGUUGUGGGGCCUCGUGCGCAUCUACUGGUGGGGGUGGCAUCGCCGAAGAUGGGCCAGAGCAUUGGCAGCAACCGUAAAGGCAGCGACCGGAUCUCGGCUCGAGCUGGCUACAGGCUGCACGGCACGGGGAGGCUAGCCAAACGGCACUACGAUGUCGUGUUGUCAUCAGGAGCACGCCGGUGCCACUACUGCAAGCGGAGGAGCUCGGGAACACAAGGAUCACCGGCCAUGGAGGCGACAAGCUUCGACCAUGGCAUCACAACUAGCUAGGGGGCGCACAUGACGACAAGAAGAGAGUUAGAGAGGGGAGAGGAAGAGGGGCUUACAGUGGUUCGUAGGGGAAACAGAGCGCAACCGGGGGAGCUUGGGGGCUCGAGAAUUUGAUGUUGGUGGCCGACGGAUCCGAGGAUGAAGACAAUGGCAUAGACGGCCUUUAGGUGCUCCAGUCAUUGCGUGGCUCAUCGAGGAUGAAGCAGAGGAGGGGGCGGAUCCAUUGGACACGACGACGAGGCAAACAAGCCGCGGUGGGUGCGGUUUCUACAACGGCAUGGGCAUGGCGUUCUCACCCAUGGUGGAGGAGAGCAAGGGAGAGGGCGAGAGGGGUAGAUGAGGAGUCCGCUCGAUCACGACAUCUCCGUGGAGGCUAUCCAG